This 253-nucleotide ribosomal RNA is filed under the name uncultured bacterium. RNAcentral's name for it is "partial 16S ribosomal RNA". It matches the Rfam family "Bacterial small subunit ribosomal RNA", at positions 524 to 776 of the family's 1533-position model. The record is from RNAcentral.
UACAGAGGUCUCAAGCGUUGUUCGGAUUCAUUGGGCGUAAAGGGUGCGUAGGUGGCGGGGUAAGUCAGGUGUGAAAUCUCGGAGCUCAACUCCGAAACUGCACUGGAUACUGCCUUGCUCGAGUACUGGAGAGGAGAUUGGAAUUUACGGUGCAGCAGUGAAAUGCGUAGAUAUCGUAAGGAAGACCAGUGGCGAAGGCGAAUCUCUGGACAGUUACUGACACUGAGGUACGAAGGCCAGGGGAGCAAACAGG